Aethalodelphis obliquidens (Pacific white-sided dolphin) is the source of this 73-nucleotide non-coding RNA. The record is from the annotation of a RefSeq genome assembly. Lineage: Eukaryota; Metazoa; Chordata; Mammalia; Artiodactyla; Delphinidae.
UCCCUGGUGGUCCAGUGGUUAGGACUCUGCAUUCUCACUGCCGGGGCCCCAGGUUCGAUUCCUGUUUGGGGAA